Molecule: ribosomal RNA, 405 nt
Filed under: uncultured bacterium
Lineage: Bacteria
Description: bacterial SSU rRNA
Rfam family: Bacterial small subunit ribosomal RNA
Source: RNAcentral
AACGAACGCUGGCGGCGUGCCUAACACAUGCAAGUCGUGCGAGAAAGUUCCUUCGGGAGCGAGUAAAGCGGCGCACGGGUGAGUAACACGUAGGUAACCUGCCCCCCAGUCUGGAACAACUAGAGGAAACUCUAGCUAAUGCCGGAUGAGACCACGAUCCCUUCGGGGGUUGCGGCCAAAGAUGGCCUCUACUUGUAAGCUAUCGCUGAGGGAUGGGCCUGCGGGCCAUUAGCUUGUUGGUGAGGUAACGGCUCACCAAGGCUGUGAUGGCUAGCUGGUCUGAGAGGAUGACCAGCCACACUGGGACUGAGACACGGCCCAGACUCCUACGGGAGGCAGCAGUGGGAAUAUUGCGCAAUGGGCGAAAGCCUGACGCAGCGACGCCGCGUGGGUGAUGAAGGCCUU